This is a long non-coding RNA of Solea senegalensis (Senegalese sole), 2398 nucleotides long. RefSeq lists it as uncharacterized. The record is from RefSeq and is a predicted model, not a curated record. Lineage: Eukaryota; Metazoa; Chordata; Actinopteri; Pleuronectiformes; Soleidae. The transcript has 2 exons.
ACGUGAUCUAAGUAAAAAAAAAAAACAACAGACAAAGCAAACAGUCAAAUACCAAAUGCCAGAACACACGGGAUUAUGAUUUUCAUCAGGAGUGAAACAGCUACAUCCGUCUUUAGACUUCCAUUCUGAAGUCCCAGAUAAAGAGACGGGGAGGAGAGAAAGAUUCGCUCAGAUUCCUGCCGCAGCCAUUUUGAAACUUUGUCAAACUGGAAACUUAAAGCUGCAGUGCGUAACAGACUUGACUGAGGGAGUGCUUGUGUUAUGCAGCAUCACGCAGCAUCGGGGCGGGGCGGGGACAAGAGGCAUUUAUCCCAUCCAACUGCUCAGUGACCUGGUUUUUGAGCAGCCGAAUUCGCUAUUGACACUUUCCAGUCAUCCUCCAACCCGUUUGAAGUCGCCUCGCCUUUUAAGUAUAACGCCGCCGCUGUCCCCCCGACGUAAAACAAAUCACUUCCUGUGCGCAGCGUGGAAAUGUCGCCAGGUGACACGAGAGAGGGUCAUGUGGAGCUAACAAAGAGACUUAAAAGUUAUGCACUAAAGCUUUAAAUACAGUCCAAACAGACCCGUAGUUGACACCUAGCAUGAGGUCACGUUCUCUCUGUUAAUCAUUUCUUUACAUUUUUGAAUCUGGUUAUUUAAUGUGUUUACCAACCUGUUUAAAAUAACUGUUAACCUAUGAAUGAAGUCUGUCUGCUUUUCUUAUCAUUUCAUUGAUACCAGCGUAACUGCUCACUUUAACCUUUUCCAAAUACACAUUUUAGUCGUAAGUCCAGUAUUUCCCACUGACUAAACAAUGACCUACAGUUAGUGUGGCACAAAAUGAAAAGUAUUCAUCACCCAGGUUAAUGCUGACUGUGAUCGUUUGGGGUUAUAUAUUUUUUUCCCCCCAACCAGCACAUCAUUUUUAAUUUUUUUGAAGGCAUAAUGGAACAAAAAGGUGCAGCUUCAGCGAGCUGUUGAAUGAAGAGUUGCAGACGACGAGCGGCACACCUACGCCACCGUCUCCUCCUCCUCCUCCUCCUCCUCCUCGGCAAGGGAGGAGGCCGCUCUCAGAAGUAUUCAGAGGAAAAUGACUGAGGAUCUAUGUCGCAGCAACAAGCAAAACAAACUCAGGUGUUGAUUUCUGGGACGACGUGGAUACACACAAAACAACAUCUGCUCAACAAAAGGGGAAAAAAAAUAAAGAAAACCCAAUUUCACUCACGACUUUUAAGGGUUUUCCUCUAAGGGUUUCCUUCUGGAAAUGGUUAUGACUGUGAACCCAACUAACCACUAAAAGCAAACGCAGCCUUGAUUCAUUUAGAAACAGGAUAUUUCACCUUGUCCUGAACUGUAGAUGGCCUUCACUGAUUUCUUCACCUUCUGCAGGGACGUUCGAUCCUGGUCCAGCGCCUGAGGAAGAAAGGAGGAGACAGUUUUACGACUUUCCCUUCCUUUAACGACAAACUGGAAAUAAUCACAUCAAGAGACAGCGAAAAUAUUUCUGAAAAUAUCGGCUUAGGUGCUCAUAUUUGCACAACAACUCAAAGCAUGCACCCGCGCUACAUGGAACUAAUGCAGACAGUGCUUGACCUGAAUGUGACAUAAAUCAUUAUUUCAGCACUGAUGACUGCAGGAGAAAUCUCUCCCUGUUGCCUCACCAGAAAGCAAAUAUGCAGGUUUUGUGUUGUUUUUUUCAAGCUCUGGCUAUUUAUUCUGAUAAAUAAUUAUUCACAGUGAAACAUUUAAAUGCUUGCAAUAUAAACAAUACGGCUGACCUAGUGAAUUAUCUGCCCCCGCUUCGCUGCAAUUUCAGAGAUUAAUGCUCACGGUUCAGAAACAACAGCAACAGGGAAUUAAAAAUAAUGACUAGUAUGAAUAGAAAAGAAAAAUACUUCACACAUAAGACUUUACUUGAGCGAGCUGCUGGGGCAUAUUAACGGUUUCUUUUUUGUAUUAUUAAUUUCUUAUCCUUUCAAGUGUGUCAAUAAAAAUCCUUUUGAACGUGACCACCAAUGCCAUCUGUCCAAAAUAUGUUGGAUUCUGUGAUAAAUCACUUCAUUUGUUGAGUUUUCCAACUCAACAGCUUCUCUGUCAAGAGACAUUUUAGGCAGCAACAAUUAAUGAUCAGUUAUUAACCGAUUAUUAAAGUAACUGUUUCGAUAAUCACCUUAUCCAUUUAAGCUUUUCGGAAAAACAAGCCCUCUGAUUUCAUCUCAUGGAUAAAAACAAGUAAUGGAGUCACUGAGCAAAUAAUUGCCAGAUAAAUAAUCAACAACCCUGAUUGACAAAUGUAAAUAUUGAGAGCGGUACAUUUAAUGUCAGGUUGUUUAUCUCCACCAGCUUGUGCUCUUUAUUGAAAUGUACAGCUCAUGUUUCUUUUUAUCGUGAGAAUAAAGUAUGUGUUGGUGACACAGGG